Molecule: long non-coding RNA, 1476 nt
Filed under: Monodelphis domestica (gray short-tailed opossum)
Lineage: Eukaryota; Metazoa; Chordata; Mammalia; Didelphimorphia; Didelphidae
Description: lncRNA (ENSMODG00000036566.1)
Source: RNAcentral
AAAAAGCAAACACAAACAUUAUUAUACCAUCCUUAAGUCUCCAUGCUAAUGCAAUUCCAUUGCAAACUGAUGAUGGAUUGCAAAAGGAAUGUUCAAAGCAAAAAGAGAAGUCUGUAGCUGAAGAACAAAACUGGGACAUGAUAGCAAAUCCACAGGAAGGAACAAACACACAAGAACCAAAUUUAUCAACACAUAACACAAGAAUUACAGCAUACUACUAGGCAAGAGCUUGCAAAAGACUUGGGGAAUAUAAAAAUCACCAAGCAAGAGUCAGUGCAAGACAUGAAUCACACAGAACCACUAUAUACAAUGACAUUUGACUCAGAAAGCUAAGAAGACCAAGAACCUUAUGAAUAUAUCAAACUUUACAAUCAAGGUCACAAAGCUUUACAAGAGUGGGAGACAGAUGAUUACAUUAAUAGCUCAAAUCAAGAACAAAGGAUUCUGUCAAAAGAAUUAGUUCAGGACAGUUGGGGGGAGGGGUAAGUGGGAGUGGCAGUUGGUCUUGUGACAGCACUCACUUCCUGUCCCUGGAACUGGAAGGAGCCUCUUUCCCUGUAUUUGGAUAGAAAUGCCUCUAUUCCUGAUUUUUCCCAACUGUGUGUUCUACCUGGAUUUCUGUGAUCAUAUUAGUGAACAAAAGGACUUAAGGGAAGCAGUUUGGACUGUAAGGUUGGUCUUUCGGGGCGUCAGCCUGAAGAGAUAAGGUCAACUAGUUUUGAAGAGUCAUCAAAAGCUCAGAGACAAGACAAAAGUCAGGAAGAUUGUCAAUGGUCUGAGGAGCAGUGGAUCGUCUUGGCUUCUUUGAUGGCUAACCAAGUUCUAGGCACUCCACACCACCUGCUUUAGCAAACUCUUUCAUGACUGUAAGAACAGAACAUUCUCAUUUGCCCAUUCUGCCAGGAAGAUGGAGAAAGGGACAAGAAUUGCAGUCCUAGACCUGAUUCUAGACAAUGAAGAGGACCUGGUCGGUGAAGUACAACAGACAAAAACCUUGCAAGGCAGUGAUUAUAUCAUCAAAGUCUUCAUAAUAGGGAGUCUCAGGCUUGAAUCUUUGGCUUGGAGCUUUGGCUGGUGACUUGCCUCUUGGAAGUGGCUUUGGACUUGGACCUUCGCUUCGACUUGGGACCUUGGCUCUUGGACUACUUCUAGGAGGACUGAUCCUGGAUCUUAUCUUUUGAACUUUGUCUUGGGUGAGUAAGUAGCUGGCCUUCCCUUCCUGGCUUCUGGAGAGAUUAGUUCUGGAGAGGCCUUCCUUUCCUGGAGGAGGCUGUAUAGGUGGAACCCAUACAUAAGACACCACCAGGUCCUCUGGCUAAGGGUUAACAAGCACUGCUGGGGCUGAGUUGGAUACCAGAGCAACAUUUAGUGUGAUAGGCUAGACAUUUUCUCUACCCUCUUCUUAUAUUCCUCUACUUUCACUCUUUCCACCUCUUUGUAAAUAAAUGCUACUAAAAGUCAUUUUGACUUGAGCUA